GAGACAGCAGUCGCCACGGUAAAACGCAGGUGGCAAGCGUUGUCCGGAAUUAUUGGGCGUAAAGGGCUCGCAGGCGGUUUCUUAAGUCUGAUGUGAAGGCCCCCGGCUCAACCGGGGAGGGUCAUUGGAAACUGGGAAACUUGAGUGCAGAAGAGGAGAGUGGAAUUCCACGUGUAGCGGUGAAAUGCGCAGAGAUGUGGAGGAACACCAGUGGCGAAGGCGACUCUCUGGUCUGUAACUGACGCUGAGGAGCGAAAGCGUGGGGAGCGAACAGGAUUAGAUACCCCCGUAGUCCCUGUCUCUUAUAA
Molecule: ribosomal RNA, 308 nt
Filed under: uncultured bacterium
Lineage: Bacteria
Description: partial 16S ribosomal RNA
Rfam family: Bacterial small subunit ribosomal RNA
Source: RNAcentral